GGGUGGGUCGCAUAGUGGCCUAGUGCAGUGGUUUGCUAAACCGCCGUAGGAGCAAUCCUACCGAGAGUUCGAAUCUCUCCCCGCCCGCCA
RNAcentral lists this transfer RNA (90 nucleotides) under Herpetosiphon sp. RNAcentral's name for it is "tRNA-Ser". It matches the Rfam family "tRNA". From Rfam's summary of the family: Transfer RNA (tRNA) molecules are approximately 80 nucleotides in length. Their secondary structure includes four short double-helical elements and three loops (D, anti-codon, and T loops). The record is from RNAcentral. Lineage: Bacteria; Bacillati; Chloroflexota; Chloroflexia; Herpetosiphonales; Herpetosiphonaceae.